CAUGAACCACCUGGGUUUUGAGCAGUUUGGGGUAGUUCCAAGGUGGAGUGGGCCCGGACCACAAAAUAAAAGGUCUUUGACUGACUUUGCCAAGAGUAAGGAGGUAAAUGCCAUGGCAUGGAGCAGCAUCACCAUAUCGAUACCCACCGACCUACCAUGCAUCAUGAAUUGGUAUCGCCAUCUUUGGUGCCAUAUGUUUGAUAUUAAUAGAGAAAACUAUUAGAUAUAUGAUCUGAAAAGCCAAUUGUUGAUUGACACAUUGUAUUAAUCAAUGGCAUAUUUUUGUACUUGAUUUAUUAAAAUUAAUAAAAUGAAUAUUUUUUUUAUCCAUUCAUAUGUAAUGUGUCUGUGAAUCGUCCAAUGAGUUAAUGGACAAUGACACAUUCCCAAGAGUUGAGAAUUUGAGACGUGUCAAUAUAGAUUAACUCCUGAAAUGCUCUCGAUUAUUGGAUUAUCACGGAGAUGGUGAUUGAUCCAUCAAGAUCGGUGCAUAGAUCGCUUUCCUUUCGGAUAAAUGAGUCUCGAAUCUACAGUAUAGGGACACUGGAGCGAGAGUGCAAUUGUCAGAGAACAACGAUACUGAACGUGAUCAAGAACAAGUCACAUGGAUGUCUACUCACUCGUCAGUGACUAUCUCGAUGCUGUAGUUGUGUGAGAAGUUUUUUGACCUGCGAUGCCUCGACCGCUCACAGUGGAAUUGCUGUAGUUUGACAACACAUAAACAUGGUCCCUAGCUAUUUGAGAUCUUGCGGUAUUCAUUAGUUGCAGUAGGUUCGCUGUAGAAGUCAGAUGUGCACUUAUAAGGAAUCAUCAGCCUUAGUAGUUGAGGAGUAGUCAUAUGCGACUUAAGAAGCUGAGUUCUUAAGUCUGUGGCCACAGCAACGUAAUAAUGAAAAAUAAUUUUCAUGAAAUUCACGAUUAGGCUCAAGUCGAUUAAGUCUGACAUAUGACGGAUGCUUAGGAUUUGACGAGGUUCCAUGACCUGCAUCCUGUCGGGACUUUCGAUAAAAGAACUUGAUCACACGGUAACUACAUCUAGGGGUUCAGAUUUUUCUGUUCUAUUGGAUUGCCAUUACAUGCUGCUAGACAUUACUAGUGGAUUAUGAGAACUCACUAGGAUUGUUUUCGGAUCAAUGAUCCUUGUUGGGUUGAGUUGGAAUCGUUUCAGCCCAUCGAAAAGAGUUUCAAUGAUGCUAUGAUAGAGAUUAUGAUGUCUCACUAUCAGAUAGAAUAGAACCUGAGGGAUCACACACAAAAGGAGCUUGAUCUGAGUAACGAUUUGGAUAAUGAUCAAAUGAUCAAUUCAAUUGAUGAUUUGGAUCAAUUUAUAAAAGUUACUAAUUUAGAAACUCCUAAUUGUUAGCAUAAGAGACUUAAUUGCAAGUGUUGCAAUGCAAUUGAGCCUGAUUAAAUUAUGGAUCAAAUCCUAAUUAAUUUAAAUCAUAUUUAAUUUAAUUGGGCUUAACUUAAUUUAAGACUAAUUGGGUUUAAGUAUCCAAGUUAGACUUGGAUUCCAAUCCUAAUUGGAUUAGAGUUGACAGCUUUUUCGAGUUUGAUUCGAAUCGGGCUCGAAUUGAUUCGAAUCAAAUCCAAUUUGAAACUCAAUUGAAAUGGACUGCCUAAACCCUCUUUCCUUGGGAUUCUCUCUCUUAUUGGCCAACUAAGAAGUGGGAGGAGCAGUGGAUUUGUCGCCCUUUUCCUCUUCGUACGUGUGAAGAUGAGAGGAGGCACAACCCUUCUGGCAUGGGACUCUUUUCUGAUAAAUUUUGAUCCUAAUUCAAAUAUUAAUUUGAAAUUUAAUCAAAUAGGAUCAGUCCUUAUCAGGUUUGGGAGUUGGGGACUUUGUUGUGUGCAACAAAAUAAAAGAUUAAGGGCGUGUGUGAAGGUUGUUCUGUGUGCUAACUUCUUCCUUGCCGCAACAUCUCAUCUCAAUGCCCCUUCUCCCCUUUCCUCUCCCCACCUUCUCCACAGAUCAAUAUGAGAGAGAGAGAUUAGAGAGAGAGGAAGAGAAAGAAAAGGUUUUUCUUCUCUUCUAGGCAUCUUUAGAGAGUUCCUUUCAGAUCUGUGUGAAGGGUUCGUGUUACAGAUUUUUCUUCGAGUUCUAGAAGAAGAUCCACAUCCAAGCCGAGGAAUGAGGCCUGCAAAAAAGCUAGCCUCCGAGGGUCUUGGAGUUUCGAUUAGCGAUCUGCUCUAUGUGGAUACCAGCAGAGGCCGGGCACGUGCGCGACUCCGACAAAAAUCCCAGACAUCUUUCGGAUUCGAUCCGAGUAAGAAAGAUAGCGAUUCAGGUAAUCAAUCUUCCUUCUCUGUUUUUGAUUUCAGAUCUGUUAUCAUAAAUCUAUUUCAGCAUGUUAAAGAUCCGUAGGUGAUUUAUAGAUUUGAUCUACAUGCUUCAUAUGAAAAUAGUUUUCAUAUAUGCUUCCGCUAGGUUAAAGUAACCUGAUCUGAUUUUGCAUGCCUUAAUCACCUAGAACUCCAACAAUGGUAUCACAGCCACAAUUUUUAACAUGUAUGAAAUAGAUUUAAAUCUGAUUUCUCUUUAGAUCUAAAAAUUAGUUUCAGAUUUAGAUUAUUUAUUUUGAUUUAAAUCAGAUUUGAAAUCUGAUUUCAUGUAUAUGAUACAUAAAUCUAAAUUUUACAUGCAUAUGUGAUAUGUUAGUGUAGAUUAAUAACCUAGUAGACUACCAUUGUUGAGUUAAGUUCUUAGUUAGACCCACCAUUCAUGCAGGCACCCCUUCCACCAUAUCACAUAAAUCUAAAUUUUACACGCAUAUGUGAUAUGUGCCUGCAUGAAUUAAGAAGAAGAACCGCGAAAAGUUGAUCGAUUUUGAAAACUGUUUUCCAAACAAGUUAACCAAAAAUAUUAGAUUUGAAAUUAAGAUGUUAAACAAUUUUUGAAAAGUGUUUUCAAAUAGUUUUAAUCAUCUUUUUAGAUCUGAUUUUGCAUAUAUGAGAUAUGUGCCAUGUUAGUCUUAGAUCUAAAAAAUUAUAUAUGUGAUAUACAUUUCAUAGAUCUUAGAUCUAAAACACCAUAUAUGAGAUAUAUGAUUUUAGGUUUAGAUCUGAAAAUGUUUCGAGAUCAUAAAUCAUUAAUUCAUGCACUUUAACAUAAUCUAAAAUUGUUUUUAGAAUCUAAAUUUUAAGUUAUGCACAGGGAUAUGGGUUGAACAAUUAAAUCUAAUGAUUGGACUAUAAUUAGGUUCCUUGAUUAGGUUAGGUUAGAACCCAUGUCAAUUUUGAGCAGUUGAUUGAACCUAAUCAAUAGCUUAUUACGAUUAGGUCAAAGGAGCUCAAUAUCGAAUUUAGUUGUAGUUGGUCAUAUCGAUUCACAUUUGAUAUGGAUUGAGUAACUCAAGACCGAAUUUGGCUCAGUGGAUCGAGCCCAAAUCGCUAAGCUAACCUAUUCAAUUCUAAUUGAUCAAUUGGUGUCUAAAGCAAGUCUCAACUGGUGGUUUUUAAUUGGGACCAUGCUUAUCUAGCCAAUCCAGUUGGUGUCUAAGACAAGCAUCGGCGAUCCUCCCAUCGAUCUCACUUAUCUGACCAACUUGAUCGAUUAAAUUUUAAGGUUGUUUAGUUAUUCAUGUUCAUCCAUGCCGACUAGGUUAGUCAAACAUAAGAUUGUACUGACCUGAAUCUAAUCAAUCAGACAUAAGAUUGUACUAAUCUAAUUUAGAUAAGAUCUAAAUCUAAACCUCUUCACAAAUAUUAAGUCUUAAAUCUUCCACCAUUGUAAGAGUACGGGCGUCCUACUGAUGUUGACUGUUCUCGACUGGUUACAGUGGUUCAGUUGCACCGAAAAUAUGCAACCACCCUAUUAACAUGAGAUAUUGCAAGGUAAUGAUGGGGUUGGACUCAAUAAUCGGACACGGUGAGGGACCUAAUGACGGCUUUACCUAUGCGUUGAAUGGUGGGUCUAACUUAACUAAGAACUUGACCAAUAAACGAACACGUUGAGGCUUCAUAACUUAGAGAUCAAUCGCUGCAUUAUGCUUGAGAAGCAUUGAACAAUAGUUGUCCACUCAUCGGUAUAGUGUGGCCUAAUAAUCGGACACGGUGAGAUGCGUGCAUAUCAAUGGGACUGCAGUGCCCACUAAGAAUCCUAAUCGUGUAGGGCUUUUCGCAUCUCCACGGAAGAGUGAGAGAUCCGUAAGAAUAGUGAGAGUCUAAUUUGUUUCUUAAAGUCUCUAGAACAAAUUUUAAAAUCUGAGUACAAUUGUCUAACUUGAAUCUUCUAUUUUCGUAGUUAACCAUGUCAGUCUCCAACCAUUUAGCCCGCAUUAUAGAGUCCAACCGACUAAUUGGCCUUAACUACAAGGACUGAUUUAGAAAUCUUAAGAUUGUCUUAAGUUCAGAGAAGUUGGGCUGUGUGCUCAACCAGGACCCCCCAUCUUACAUGACCAUCCAAGUGCUCGUCAAACAGCAGCACAAAAAAAAUGGAUGGAGGAUGACAACAAAGUGAAGUGUUACAUACUGACUUCAAUAUCAAAUGAGUUGCAGAGCCAACAUGAGGAUAUACCUACUGCCAAGGCCAUGAUUGCACACCUGUAAGAGUUGUAUAGUGAGCAAAGCCGCACGACGUACUUCGAAGUCUCUAAAAGACUUUUUAAUACGAAAAUGCGCAAAGGACAGUCAGUCCAUGAUCAUUGUUUGGCAGUGAUUAAGGACAUAGAACAGCUUGAGAAGCUGGGCAUUCCUAUUCAUAGGAAACUGCAAGUGGAUUUGAUCUUUCAAUCCCUUACUAGUUCAUUUGCUUCAUUUGUUAUGAACUAUAAUAUGAACAAAUUAAACUACACUUUAUUUGAGUUGAUGAAUAUGUUGGUAAGUAAUGAGGGGACCUUGAAGAGUUCAAGGGCUAACAUUGUUCUCGCUGUGAAGCAAGAAUCUUCCUCCAAGAGAAAGUCUAGUUGGAAGAAAAAAAGCAGAAAAAGAAAAAGGAGAGCAAGCCGAAGGACACUCCAAAGAAGGCUGCUGGUGGCAAAAAAAAGUGUUUCCAUUGCAAUAAUGAUGGCCAUUAGAAGAGGAACUGUUCGUUGUACCCGAAGAGCCUGAAAAAACAAAAGACAGAUGCACCUUUGAAAGGUAAGUCCAAUAUGCUCAUUAUUGAAUCUAUUGAAUCUAACCUUAUGGUUUUCUCUAUUUCUAGUUGGAUAUUGAACUCUGACUCGAGUGCUCACAUAUGUACUUCUAUGCAGGGUCUGAUAAAAAAUAGAGGACUGAAGGAAGAAGAAAUGAUCCUGCGCGUCGGCAAUGGAGCAAAGGUUGCUGCAAUCGCCGUUGGAAUAUAUCCUCUACGAUAACCGUUAGAAUCUAAAUUGAAUCUUAAAAAUUGUUAUUAUGUAUCUGUAGCUAGCAAAAAUUUGAUUUCUAUGUCUGUGCUAGCACAAGAUGGAUAUGAAUUUAAUUUCGAUAAAGACUUUUAUACUAUUUACUUGAGAAAUAAAUUGAUUGCAAGAGCUCUGUUAAUUGAUAGUCUUUAUCAUUUGCAUGUCGAUGCAUCUGUGAACAUUAACGAGCAAUUAGUGAAAGCCGUAGGACACAAGACCUAGAGAUGACCUGAACCACAAGUAUUUAUGGCAUCUCAGACUUGAUCAUAUUGGAGAAGACAAGAUCAACAAACUGAAAAAGAAUGAGAUCCUUAACUCACUGAGUUCUGAGUUUUAUUCAGUUUGUGAAUCCUACCUUCAAGAAAAAAUAACUAAAUUAUCCUUUGUAGGAUAUGGGGAAAGGGCCACUGAAUUACUUGCCCUGGUACACACUAAUAUGCAUGGGCCAUUUGAUGUGCAGGUCAGAUAUAGUUAUCAGUACUUCAUCCAUGAUUAUUUACAGUAUGAGAUGUGUUUCUUAUGAGACACUGAAGUUUUUGAAAAGUUCAAAGAAUUUAGACAUGAAGUAGAAAAACAAACAGAAAAACUCCUUAAAAUUCUUCAAUCAGAUCGAUGAGAAGAAUAUCUUAGUGAAAAAUUUCUGAAAUAUCUCAAGGACAACAACAUAGUCUUACAGUGGACUCCUAGUACGUCUUAACUCAAUAGGAUAUCAGAAAGGAGAAAUAAAAUCCUAUUGAAUAUGGCCCGAUCUAUGAUGAGCUUCACUGACCUACCUAUGUUUCUUUGGGCACAUACCCUACAAACCUCCAUUUAUAUUUUAAAUAGGGUUCCUUCUAAAUUCAUUCCUACCACACUAUAUGAAAUAUGGCAUAGUAAGAAACUGAAUCUUGACCAUCUCAAGAUUUGGAGAUAUCCAGCUAUGUUAAAAAACUAAUGGCGGACAAGUUAGAACCCAGAUCUAUGAAAGCUUGUUUUAUAAGGUAUUCUAAAAAAUCAAUAGGAUACUACUUUUACUUUUCAGAGAAUUACAAUGUGAUUGUGAUCCGACAUGCCACGUUCUUGAAAAAAUAAUUUAUCCAGGACGAAUGUAGUGGGAGGCUAAUUAAGCUCGUAAAGAAAGUCUCUAAAGAGCGGCGAGCUGUAGAUCAGACUGAACCCAUUGAACCAGUAGAUGUCGUGGUUCCACCACCUCGUAAAUUUAGUAGGAUCUCCCAUCCUCCUGAAAGGUACUUAGAUAUGCUUACAGAUGAUGUAGAGGAAGUAUUCCUCGUGAGAGAUAAGGAUCAAGUAGUUGAUCCUAAAAUCUAUGACGAGACGAUGUCAGAAAUCGACUUCGAGAAAUAGUUGAAUGUUAUGAAGUCAGAAAUUGACUCAAUGCAUUCAAACCAAGUCUUGACCUUAGUGGAUCCAUCAGAGAGUAUUGUAUCCAUUGGGUGUACAUGGAUCUACAAAAAAAAGAUAGAUGCAGAUGGUAAGAUAGAGACCUAUAAAGCUAGGCUAGUGGUGAAGGAUUAUAAUCAACGCAAAGGUAUUGACUAUCAUGAUAUCUUUUCGUCCGUAGCCAUACUGAAAUUCAUCCACACAUUGCUUGCCAUUGCAGCUUUAUCAUGAUUAUGAAAUUUGACAGAUGAAUGUGAAAAUGACGUCCCUAAAUGGAUAUCUUGAAGAAGAUAUCUAUAUGGAACAGCCUUUAGAUUUCACUUCUAGUGAUGGAGAUCACAAAAUCUGCAAGCUGCAUAGAUCCAUUUAUGGAUUGAAGCUUUUCGAAAUUGAAACACUCAUUUCAACGAUGCCAUCAAAUCAUUUGAUUUCAUAAAGAAUGAGGAGCCUUGCGUUUACAAGAUCAGUGGGAGGACUGUCACAUUCCUCAUAUUAUACGUAGAUGAUAUUCUUCUUAUUGAGAAUGAUAUUCAUAUGCUGACCUCAGUCAAGAGUUGGCUGUCCAAGAAUUUUUCAUGAAAGAUCUAAAAGAAGCAUCUUAUAUUCUAGAAAUUAAGGUCUAUAGAGAUAGACCGAAUAGGAUGCUUGGCCUUUCACAGAAGAUGUACAUAGAAGAAGUGCUGAAGACGUUCAGCAUGAAGAACUCUAAGAGGAGACUACUACCCCUUAGACAUGGCAUUAGUCUCUAUAAAAAGAUGUGUCCUAGCACAUGAGGAGAUUCAGAGGAUGAGCAAGAUCCCUUAUGCUUCAGUAAUAUGAAAACUCAUAUAUACCAUGUUGUGUACACGAUCUGAUAUAGCCCUAGCUGUAAGUGUCACGAGCAGGUAUCAGUCGAAUCUAGACGAAGAGCACUGGACUCUGUGAAGAACAUCCUUAAGUACUUGAGAAGGAUUAAGCAUUUAUUCUUGAUCUUUGGAGGAAGUCCUGAGUUGCGGGUUGAGGAAUAUACUGGUUCAGACUUUAUGUAUGAUCCCGAUGAUAUGUCUACGUCAGGAUGUGUAGUUCUUCGCAAUGAUGGUUCUACAAAUUGAAAGAAUUUCAAGCAACCAAUCAUUGCUGAUUCUAUCGUGAAAGUUGAGUAUAUCGCCAUCUCAGAAGCUGCAAAGGAAGCCUUCUGGUAUAAGAAGUUCGUUGCAGAGCUCGAAGUGAUGCCAUAAGAUGCCAUUGCCUUGUACUGCGAUAAAAACGACACCAUAGCCCUUGCUAAGGAACCCAGACCUCAUCAGAAGUUCAAACAUAUCGAGCGACGGUUUCACAUUAUACGCGACUACCUCGAGAAAAAGUACAUCGAGAUGCGAAAAAUAGACUCUACGGACAACGUAGCAAACCCACUGACGAAACAUUUGAGCCAGCAGAAAUCUGAAGUCCACCUUGAGAAGAUGGAUCUUAGGUACAUGGCCAAUUGGCUUUAGAUCAAGUAGGAGAUUGUUAGAUGUAUGAUCUGAAAAGCCAAUUGUUGGCUGACACAUUGUAUAAAUUCAAAACAUAUUUUUGUACUUGAUUUAUUGAAAUUAAUAAAACAGGUAUUUUUUUUAUCCAUUCAUGUGUAAUGUGUCUAUGAAUCAUCUAAGGAGUUAAUGGACAAUGACACAUAUUUUCAAGAGUUGAGAAUUUGAGACAUGUCAAUAUAAAUUAACUCCUGAAAUGCUCCUAAUCGUUGAAUCACGGAGACAAUGAUUGAUCCGUUGAGAUCGAUGCACAGAUCACUUCUCUUUCGGAUAGACGAAUCUCAAGUUUACAGUAUAGAGAUACUGGAACGAGAGUACAAAUGGUUGUUAAAGAACAACGAUACUGAGCGUGAUCAAAAACAAGAAGUUACAUGGAUGUCUACUCACUCGUCAGUGACUAUCUCGAUGCUAUAGUUGUAUGAGUAAUUCUUUAACCUGCGGUGCCUCGACUGCUCACAGUGGGAUUGUUGUAGUUUGACAACACAAACAUGAUCCCUAGCCAUUUGGAGCCUUGCGGUGUUCGUUGACUGUAGUAGAUUCGUUGUAGGAGUAGAAUGUGCACUUAUAAGAGAUCCAUCGGGCUGAGUAAUUGAGUAGUCCUAUGCGAUCUAAGUGGCUGGGUUCUUAAGUCUGUGGCCACAGCAACGUGAUAAUAGAAAGGAGUUUUUAUGAGAUUUAUGAUUGGACUCAAGCUGAUUAAGUCUGAUAUAUGAUGGAUGCUUAGGGUUUGAUGAGAUUCCAUGACCUGCAUCCUAUCAGAACUUUCGAUAGAAAAACUUGAUCAUAUGGUAACUACAUCUAGGGAUUCAGAUUUUUUUUAUUCUGCUGGAUUGCCACUACAUGCUGCUAGACGUCACUGGUGAAUUGUGAGAACUCACUAGAAUUGUUUUCGAAUCAACGAUCCUUAUUGGGUUGAGUUGAAAUCGUUACAACCCAUCGAAAAGAAUUUCGAUGAUAUUGUGAUAGAGAUCAUGGUCUGUCUCACUACUAGAUAGAAUAGAACCUGAAGGAUCACACACAAAAGGAGCUUGAUCUAAUCAACGACUUAAAUAAUGAUCAAAUUAUCAAUUAGAUUGAUUUGGAUCUAUUUGUAAAAGUUGCAAAUUUAGAAAUCGCUAAUUGUUAGCAUAAAGGACUUAAUUGUAAAUGUUGCAAUGCAAUUAGGCCUGAUUAAAUUAUGGAUCAAAUUCUAAUUAAUUUAAAUCAGAUUUAAUUUAAUUAAAUUUAACUUAAUUUAAGGUUAAUUGGAUUUAAGUAUCCAAAUUAGACUUGGAUUCCAAUCCUAAUUGGAUUAGGAUUUACAGCCUUUUCGAAUUCGAUUCGAAUCGAGUUCAAAUUUGAUUCGAAUCAAAUCCAAUUUGACACCCAAUUGAAAUAGACUGCCUAAGCCCUCUUUCCUUAGAAUUCUCUCUUAUUGGCCAACUAAGAAGUGGGAGGAGCAGUGGAUUUGUCACCCUUUUCCUCUUCGUACACAUGAAGAUGAGGGUAGGCACAAGUUGGCGCCUCUCCUUCUGACUUGAGACUCUUUUCUAAUAAGUUUUGAUCCUAAUUCAAAUUUUAAUUUGAAAUUUAAUCAGAUAAGAUCAAUCCUUAUCAGGUUUGGGUGUUGGGGACUUUGUUGUGUGCGACAAAAUAAAAGAUUAAACAGGACAUGUGUGAAGGUUGUUCUGUGCGCUAACUUCUUCCUUGCCGCAACAUCUCAUCUCAACGCCUCUUCUCCCCUUUCCUUUUCAUGCCCCACCUUCUCCACAGAUCAGAUCUGAGAGAGCGAGAGAUUAGAGAGAGAGGAAGAGAAGGAAAAGGAUGUUUCUCCUCUUCUAGGUGUCUUUAGAGAGUUCCUUUCAUAUCUGCGCGAAGGAUCCGUGUUGCAGAUUUUUCUUCUCCGAGUUAUAAAAGAAGAUCCACAUCCAAGCCGAGGAACGAGGCCUGCAAGAAAGCUAGCACUCCGAGGGCCUUGGAGUUUCAAUCAGUGAUCUGCUCCGUGUGGAUACCAGCAAAGGCCGAGCACGUGCGCGGCUCCAACAAAAACCCCGGGCAUCUGCCGGAUCCGAUCUGAGUAAGAAGAAAGAUAGCAAUUCAAGUAAUUGAUCUUCCUUCUCUAUUUUUGAUUUCAGAUCUGUUAUCAUAAACCCAUAUCAGCAUGUUAAAGAUCUGUAGGUGAUUUAUAG
This 10380-nucleotide long non-coding RNA is filed under the name Elaeis guineensis (African oil palm). Its description in RNAcentral is "long non-coding RNA (EGUI_LNC000235)". Lineage: Eukaryota; Viridiplantae; Streptophyta; Magnoliopsida; Arecales; Arecaceae. The record is from RNAcentral.